Podarcis muralis (Common wall lizard) is the source of this 3839-nucleotide non-coding RNA. The record is from RefSeq and is a predicted model, not a curated record. NCBI's taxonomy places the organism in Eukaryota, Metazoa, Chordata, Lepidosauria, Squamata, Lacertidae.
UAUAGGUUCAUUUCCAAUACUCCUUAACUGCCUACCCUUGGUGAUUAUAUCCUCUGCAUCCCAACCUCCUUGCUUUCUUUAACAGUACUUUUGCCAUCAGAACAGCUUAAUUUGGUGUGUGUGGUCAUCUCCCAACUGUGUAGUUGCCUCUUCUGUUGAUGUGGAACCAUUUACUUCCAUUGAACCCAAAGUGAUAGAUCAAAGAACAGGUGCAUUAUUUAUAUCAUUUGCAGAAUGUGCUCUAGUCACAAUGCAAUGGCAGAGCCUUUCGUCUGAACUUGUAGCAGGCAAAUGUCUGCUCAUUUUGGUGAAGGAGAAAUACACGCUUGCAUUACAGUGAGAGUGAUUCAUAUGGACCCAGCUUCAUGUCACAAACCUCAUGUUGUAGGGAAGGGAGUUGAUAGGCAGAGUCCCACUAUUCUGCAUCGUGAAGCUGAGGCUUCCAUUCAGACUUCUGUACGCAACAGAAAUUGAUGACGUCAGAUUAUCCCCAGAUUAUUUUACAUGACUUCUGCCACUCAGUAGGAUAUCUCCCAAAUUAGUGAUCCCAGCCUCCUUUAGUUCCUUGGACCUCACAUUAAUAUUUUCUAGGAUGUUGGCAUUUGGAUAGAAAAGGAAGAUCUCCACAUCUGAAGAAUAAGCUCCCCUCACCCCGCCACAUGUAGCGGAAUAUCCUUGUAGCUCAGUGACAGAUCAGCUGCUUUACAGGAAAGUUCUGGGUUCAGUUCCUAAUAUCUCAUCUUGCAGAGGUGGGGAAGACCACUGCAUGAAGCCUUGAAGAGUGGUUGCUAGUCAGAGCAGACAACACUAGGCUAUACUGGAGCAAUGGUGCAACCCAGUAUAAGGCAGUUUAACAUGUUUAAUCUAAUAUAUGCAAAUGACCAGUUGCAGAGGGAAGCUGGAGCCCUACUUGAUGCUCAAAUGGUCCUGAAAGAGUUUAGGGUGGUUUGGGAGUUGUAUCAAGACCUGUGUGACAUUCCUCUCUCACUCCCCACCCCUUUCUGCCAGCCUGCUGUCCCCUCUACUAUUAGCUGGGAGCCUUGUGCCACUCCUAUGGCCUGGAGUGGGAGGAGUGGGUGACAGGCACUGCCUUUGGACUCUGGCCUUGAGCAGCUCAGUGGAUUUUGCCCCAGGCUUGCUGCCUGGGAGAUGGGCACCAAUUCACUUCUAACCUGAAAGAGCUCUAUGUGUCAGUGUCCCAAAAGCAGGCUAGGGCAGCUUGCAAACGGCACUGGGAAGGAGACUGUGAGAGUCCUGAACAUGCCAACUUCCAGGACCUUGCCCAGAAGGCUGCAGAUUUGCCAACUGAGGAGAAGAAGACUGAAUCGCAGUCAGCAGCUGCACAGUGUACACAAGACACAGUGGUACCUUCCUCCCAGACUCAGAAGGUUCAUUUGCCCAUUGCCAAGAGCAAAAGGAAGAAGGCAAAAGGGCUAUUUGGCUGAUGCAAAUGACUCUUCCACAGAGACAGAAAUGCUGUUGUUGUAUUGAACCUCUCCCUCUUCCUGGAACAACUGGAAGAGAGAUGGACUUUUCUCCUCCAGAAUACAGCUAUGCCACUCUGUUCCUUCCCUCUCCCCUCUUUCUUGCCAUGUUGGGCACCAUAGUGGGCAGUAUCCCCUUCCACACUACAGCUGUCUAUUGCCCUACCUCUGCUUAUUUUUUUCUUAUUUUCUGGAGUACAGAUACUAGCCUUGAAACUUGGAGAUGAUGCAUUCAAAGUAAAAAGCAGGGGAAAGAAAGUGGGCAGUGAUAGGAAUCCAAGAUUGAUAGUUAUCUGGGCUCCUACUACACCUAUUCUGUCCAUAAAAUCUAUACCCCACUUUGUUAAUGUGUGUGUAAUGAAGACCUUGGAUAAAAAAGUUAGGCUUACUGAUGCAGUGUCUUUUACACAUGCACUAUACAAUGCAGCAUUGCCAGCAUCAAUCAGCUGAACCACAUCUUCUUUUUUCUACAAGCUUACAGCCUUCUUGGUGGUAGAUAAAUGUUUAAGAAGGAUGUGGACAUCGUCUAACAAAGGUGCAAAACCCAAAGCAGGGCAUGGGUUGGGGUUGAGUUGGUCUGUGUGAUUUGCAUGGUCUUUCUUCUGUCUCUGCACAGAAUCUAUGUCUCUUAAUCUGUGUCUUCCUUCUCUUCCACUCAGCACUUGCUUCCUCUCAUCCUUUGUUUAGUUCUACUCUAUUUUUCACAAAAUAUACUGCAGAGGAUUAAAUUUUGAUGAAAUGAAGGUACAUUAUACUGAUUCAAACAAAUUCACACAAACAUAAUUUUAGCCUGGGCUCCACUUUCCUUGAUGCAAACAUUUGCUUUUUUAAGGCACAGAAUAUUCUCUUCCCUAAAUAUCUAAUGUUCAGUCUGUGAAACCUUAGUCCUUUGACUGAUCAGACUUUUCCUGGCCUUAUAGCUAGAGAUAGGACAUAACCUUCUACCUUUAUUUUUGCACAGAGGCAGUCCAAGGGAUGCUGGUGCCUGAGGUAGAAAAAUGACACCUUCCCUAGUAAUAAUAAUGAUAAUAAUAAUAAUUUAAAUCUUUUGCUGCCUAUCAAUAUUCCAAAACUUGCCAUAUACAAUGUCUAACAACAAGUUUAGAACUGCAGCACCCAGAACUCAGAGCACAUAUGGGGUUCUCUUGGACUUUUUGUUUAAUAUCAUCAUGUUUGUAAGCUGAAGUUCCACACAUCCUGAAAUAUUUUCUGCAACAUAGAUCUACACAACUUUGGACUUGCCAAGCUGAAUGACAUCUUUCAUCUGCGGAUCGCAGGGCAGUAUUUUUAAAAAUCACCUUUCUGCCCCAUACGAGUAUAAGGGCUCACUGAGAUCUCAGUACAUCUAUUGCUUUUGCUAUUUGAGACCACAAGAACAGUGGGCUUGUAUAGCACCUGGCAAUGAUAGCAUUAGGCUUCUGGGCUCUGUUUGGCUUGUGCGGUCAUGAGUUGUACAGGACUGUGCUGUAAACCCUUCUUACUCAUACAGUUCAUUACUACAUAGUCCUGUCUUCACUGGAGUACAGUUCUCUUCUUGUACUGACAUUUACUCCAUUCUUAUGCCCUUCUUCUAUCCUUCAACCUGCAGAACUUCACUAUACCAAACCUCCAGAUUUUUAUAGCAAAUGUUGUGUCAUUUGAUGCCCAUGAAGUCCUAGUGUUGUGAAAGGAAGCAGUUUACUGUAGCUGCAAAGCAGGCUUCUAACACACUACCCCCUCAUACCUGCUUCCAGGAUCAAAAGGUGAAUAAAAACAGAUUGCUCUUGGCCAAAGGAAUUACAGGCUAUCAUUGCAAGCAAGCUGGAAAACCACAUCCUAGAGGCCAGAAGGGGAAGAGGCUUCUGCCAUAGCAAGUGAUGCUAAAGAAUUACCUUCCCCCAAAUGCUGUCCUGCCCAUUUUGGCUGUCAGUCAAGUAGUGCUCAUGCUGUCCUGCUGGGCCACACCCAAUAGCCACAGAACCAUUCACAAUGAAAUUAACUCCUCUGACCUUAGAGGGAAUUAAGCUAAAAAGUCUCUUCCUUUUCCUCCCCAGUGAAGCCAGAAUACUUCAACUCUGCUGCCUGUUAACAAGAUACUGAUAUGAAAAAUGAAGAAAUAGUAGAUUCAGAGUUCUAGAAUUAUCUAAAGAUUCAUCCUAACAUAUUGGGGUUUGCCACUGACAUAGUGCGACACAUUGUGCUAUGGUUCCCACUGCAGAAACAGAGGGACAAAAAGGUUUCAGUGAACUGAUUGUAGAGUCUUAAAUUGUUUAACCAGAACAGUACAGUUUUACAUUACUGAAUGUUUUUAAAAUGAAAUUUGGAGUUUCCCUGUUCAGGGAAGUUUUUAAUCUGUGAUAUUUUACUGUAUCUUUG